GACGAACGCUGGCGGCGUGCUUAACACAUGCAAGUCGAGCGGUAAGGCCCUUUCGGGGGUACACGAGCGGCGAACGGGUGAGUAACACGUGGGUGACCUGCCCUCAGCUCUGGGAUAAGCCUGGGAAACUGGGUCUAAUACCGGAUAUGACUCCAUGACGCAUGUUGUGGGGUGGAAAGCCUUGUGCGGCUGAGGAUGGGGCCCGCGGCCUAUCAGCUUGUUGGUGGGGUGANGGCCUACCAAGGCGACGACGGGUAGCCGGCCUGAGAGGGCGGCCGGCCACACUGGGACUGAGACACGGCCCAGACUCCUACGGGAGGCAGCAGUGGGGAAUCUUGCGCAAUGGGCGAAAGCCUGACGCAGCGACGCCGCGUGAGGGAUGACGGCCU
RNAcentral lists this ribosomal RNA (389 nucleotides) under uncultured bacterium. Its description in RNAcentral is "bacterial SSU rRNA". It matches the Rfam family "Bacterial small subunit ribosomal RNA", at positions 28 to 417 of the family's 1533-position model. The record is from RNAcentral.